GCCCAACUGUAAUACAACAAUUAAACCACGAAUUGUUCGCCAAAUAACUACGAGUAAAAACUUAAAAUUUAAAAGACUUGACGGUACUUCACAACAACCUAGAGGAGCCUGUCCUAUAACCGAUAACCCGCGAUUAACCCUACCCCCCCUGGCCCACAGUCUAUAUACCGCCGUCGCCAGCCUACCUUGUGAAAGAAAUAAAGUAAGCUAAACAAUACCACAUUAACACGACAGGUCGAGGUGUAACUAAUGGGGGGGAGAAAGAUGGGCUACAUUUUCCACCAGGAGCAUACGAAUGCGAUUACGAAAGUUGCCGCUGAAGGAGGAUUUAGCAGUAAGAUAAGAAUAAAAUGCCUAACUGAAAUAUGCAAUGAAGUGCGUACACACCGCCCGUCAUCCCUGUAGUAUUAUCAAAAAUACAUAAUGAACACCACACCCAAACCAGGGCAAGUCGUAACAUGGUAAGUGUACUGGAAAGUGUACUUAGUAA
RNAcentral lists this ribosomal RNA (490 nucleotides) under Pareas hamptoni (Hampton's slug snake). RNAcentral describes it as "partial 12S ribosomal RNA". Lineage: Eukaryota; Metazoa; Chordata; Lepidosauria; Squamata; Pareidae. The record is from RNAcentral.